GCCAUUCACCAGGGGAGUCCCGACAAGGGGCUGAGAUACUGCUUCAGGCAUCGCCAAGCGCAGUGACCCGUUGAACCUGAUCCAGUUCACACUGGCGUAGGGACGGUGCAAAGGUUGUCGC
This 121-nucleotide non-coding RNA is filed under the name Phyllobacterium sp. YR531. RNAcentral's name for it is "TPP riboswitch aptamer (THI element)". It matches the Rfam family "TPP riboswitch aptamer (THI element)". Rfam says of the family: Vitamin B(1) in its active form thiamin pyrophosphate (TPP) is an essential coenzyme that is synthesised by coupling of pyrimidine and thiazole moieties in bacteria. The previously detected thiamin-regulatory element, thi box was extended, resulting in a new, highly conserved RNA secondary structure, the THI element, which is widely distributed in eubacteria and also occurs in some archaea. RNAcentral also lists the same sequence under 1 other name. Lineage: Bacteria; Pseudomonadati; Pseudomonadota; Alphaproteobacteria; Hyphomicrobiales; Phyllobacteriaceae. The record is from Rfam by way of RNAcentral.